GUCCUCAAACAUCAGGAUGUAGGAAGACACAAGUAAAAGGAGAAGAAUGCUGCUCAGCUGGGUCGGCGGUCACACUACUUAUUCAAGAAGCUCUUGGAUAUCAUCGGCAUGUAUAAAGCACAGUCAUUCCGGUAUGCACGGAGUCGUUCCUCGAUGGACGUGAUGACCUGGCACCAAAACCGCUUAAUUUGUAUGAAGCUGUGUCUGCAUCGAGGGAAGAACCCAGCACUGAAAUGACACAAAUGAAAGAGGACGUCUUCUCUGCUGGGUGUGCGACACUACUUAUUCUAGGAAUCCUCAAACAUCAGGAUGUAGGAAACUUAUGGUGAGAUGCCAAGAGCCGCCAUGAGGGAUAUGCAACCUGCAGCUUCACCAUGCUUUUGGGAGAUCAUGUACUACGUGAACCUUGAGUAUCUACAAGCCAGCUACUUUAAGUUCUUGAAAGGGUAGUGAUGUCAUUCAAGCCAGAUCACGAGACAAGGUCCUGUACAAACUGUCAAUCUAAAUGUUGCGACAUCCCUGUCAAUUCUUUUGGACUGAAUACAUGCUGUGUUUGAAAUAUAUUAUUCGGAUAACUCCCCAUCAGAGAAUACCUUGUCUGUUAAUGACGGAUGGACAUGCCAUUGACAUGCCGUGCACACUUUGAUGUUUUUUAUUUUAAUGUUUUCUAUGUUUUCCAAUGUUCUUUUUUUAUUUAUGUUCUGUUAUAUGCUGGUUAUGUAAGUACUGUAUGGAAUGUAGUGACUGUAGAGACCAAGACAAAUUUCAACCUGGGGACAAAAAGUUCACACCACUCUGUUAGCGCAGUUAUGGAUACACUGUAAAUUUUGUAAUUAACCAAAAGUACGGUGAGAAGCCUGUUUGUGCAGAUGGACCUGCUGGCGGGCCUGUUUACUCAUAGCUAAAAAGCAACAUAUUAUCUGUGCAAAAGCACAUGGGCUCUUCGAAAAGGGGUUUAAACAUUUUAAUGUGCUGUUUUACAGUGUGCUAUACAAAAGGUAAGGUGAAACUAAUUUUUUGAAAUUCUAUAAUUGUACAGUGUCACUGAAAUCAAAUGGUGCAUUGGUAAAACUGAACCAUUUCCUUUAAUCCCGUUUAGCAGAGCCUAUGUUUGAACUAUACUGUCACCAAUAUUGUAAUGACUGAGUUUUAACCUGUUACUUAAGGCUCUUGGUAAUGUCAUAGCAAUGUUGCUAUGAUGUAGUUGAGUCUUUUCAGUCAUGAGUGAUCAGUCUUGCUGAUAACCCGUCUUUGCAAAGAGGCUACAAAGAUGCAUGUAAAUUCAAUUAAGGUUUUAUUGCUCCAAUGCUAUCAUGUGUUAAUGCUACACUGCUGUGAUUUGCAUCUUUAUAGUAUACUUUUAUGAAAUGUAUUGUUAAUUAUCUUCAUUGUUCAGCAAUAAAAAAAAAGAUCUGAAAUAUUA
This is a long non-coding RNA of Engraulis encrasicolus (European anchovy), 1423 nucleotides long. RefSeq lists it as uncharacterized. The transcript is spliced from 5 exons. Lineage: Eukaryota; Metazoa; Chordata; Actinopteri; Clupeiformes; Engraulidae. The record is from RefSeq and is a predicted model, not a curated record.